This 600-nucleotide ribosomal RNA is filed under the name Shigella sonnei. RNAcentral's name for it is "bacterial SSU rRNA". It matches the Rfam family "Bacterial small subunit ribosomal RNA", at positions 38 to 632 of the family's 1533-position model. The record is from RNAcentral. Lineage: Bacteria; Pseudomonadati; Pseudomonadota; Gammaproteobacteria; Enterobacterales; Enterobacteriaceae.
UGCGGCGCUACCAUGCAAGUCGAACGGUAACAGGAAACAGCUUGCUGUUUCGCUGACGAGUGGCGGACGGGUGAGUAAUGUCUGGGAAACUGCCUGAUGGAGGGGGAUAACUACUGGAAACGGUAGCUAAUACCGCAUAACGUCGCAAGACCAAAGAGGGGGACCUUCGGGCCUCUUGCCAUCGGAUGUGCCCAGAUGGGAUUAGCUAGUAGGUGGGGUAACGGCUCACCUAGGCGACGAUCCCUAGCUGGUCUGAGAGGAUGACCAGCCACACUGGAACUGAGACACGGUCCAGACUCCUACGGGAGGCAGCAGUGGGGAAUAUUGCACAAUGGGCGCAAGCCUGAUGCAGCCAUGCCGCGUGUAUGAAGAAGGCCUUCGGGUUGUAAAGUACUUUCAGCGGGGAGGAAGGGAGUAAAGUUAAUACCUUUGCUCAUUGACGUUACCCGCAGAAGAAGCACCGGCUAACUCCGUGCCAGCAGCCGCGGUAAUACGGAGGGUGCAAGCGUUAAUCGGAAUUACUGGGCGUAAAGCGCACGCAGGCGGUUUGUUAAGUCAGAUGUGAAAUCCCCGGGCUCAACCUGGGAACUGCAUCUGAUA